ACCUACUGGUGAUGUGGACCUGACCCUCCGCCAUGUAGCAGACAACCCCCUCAGGUCCUGCGGUGUAUCUUCCCAAGUGGCGUGGAUGUGAGGAGACACGACAUUUCACCUGAUGUUCCAUGGGUGACCCUACUGGUGAUGUGGACCUGACCCUCCGCCAUGUAGCAGACAACCCCCUCAGCCCCAGGGUGACACUAUCACCCAUACCUGGAAGCUUAAACUGUUCUCUUCCACAGGUCCUGCGGUGUAUCUUCCCAAGUGGCGUGGAUGUGAGGAGACACGACAUUUCACCUGAUGUUCCAUGGGUGACCCUACUGGUGAUGUGGACCUGACCCUCCGCCAUGUAGCAGACAACCCCC
Long non-coding RNA from Pseudophryne corroboree (corroboree frog), 359 nucleotides. RefSeq lists it as uncharacterized. The record is from RefSeq and is a predicted model, not a curated record. Lineage: Eukaryota; Metazoa; Chordata; Amphibia; Anura; Myobatrachidae. The transcript has 3 exons.